AGUGUCAAGGGAUGGGAUUCGAACCCACGACCUUCCGCUUACCGGGCAGAUGCCAUGACCACUAGGCCACAUGACC
Molecule: transfer RNA, 76 nt
Filed under: Cordylochernes scorpioides
Lineage: Eukaryota; Metazoa; Arthropoda; Arachnida; Pseudoscorpiones; Chernetidae
Description: tRNA-Thr
Source: RNAcentral